This 216-nucleotide ribosomal RNA is filed under the name Glomeromycotina sp. RNAcentral's name for it is "partial small subunit ribosomal RNA". The stretch from base 40 to 216 matches the Rfam family "Eukaryotic small subunit ribosomal RNA", at positions 686 to 864 of the family's 1831-position model. Lineage: Eukaryota; Fungi; Glomeromycota. The record is from RNAcentral.
GGGUCAGUAGGUUGGUCGUGCCACCGGUACGUACUGGUCUCACUGAUUCCUCCUUCCUGAAGAACCGUAAUGCCAUUAAUUUGGUGUUGCAGGGAAACAGGACUGUUACUUUGAAAAGAUUAGAGUGUUUAAAGCAAGCUAACGCUUGAAUACAUUAGCAUGGAAUAAUGAAAUAGGACGAUCGAUCCUAUUUUGUUGGUUUCUAGGAUUGACGUA